This 516-nucleotide ribosomal RNA is filed under the name uncultured bacterium. RNAcentral describes it as "bacterial SSU rRNA". It matches the Rfam family "Bacterial small subunit ribosomal RNA", at positions 173 to 668 of the family's 1533-position model. The record is from RNAcentral.
GAGGUCUUUGAGCUGCAUAGCUUAAAGAAGAAAGGUGGCCUCUAUUUAUAAGCUACCGCUAGAAGAUGGGUCUGCGUCUGAUUAGCUAGUUGGCGGGGUAACGGCCCACCAAGGCGACGAUCAGUAGCCGGUCUGAGAGGAUGAACGGCCACACUGGGACUGAGACACGGCCCAGACUCCUACGGGAGGCAGCAGUGGGGAAUCUUCCGCAAUGGACGAAAGUCUGACGGAGCAACGCCGCGUGAGAGAAGAAGGUUUUCGGAUUGUAAAUCUCUGUCUUCUGGGAAGAAUGGUUUCUAUGUAAAUAAUGUAGAGACAUGACGGUACUAGAGGAGGAAGCCACGGCUAACUACGUGCCAGCAGCCGCGGUAAUACGUAGGUGGCAAGCGUUGUCCGGAAUUAUUGGGCGUAAAGCGCGCGCAGGCGGGAAUUUAAGUCUAUCUUAAAAGUUCGGGGCUCAACCCCGUGAUGGGAUAGAAACUGGGUUUCUUGAGUGCAGGAGAGGACAGUGGAAUU